CAUGUCUUUUUGAUAAUAAUUUAAAGUCUGAUCUGCUCAAUGAUUAAUUAAAUUGCCGCAGUAUUCUAACUGUGCAAAGGUAGCAUAAUAAUUAGUUUUUUAAUUGAAAACUGGAAUGAAUGAUUGGACGAGAAAACUUCUGUCUCUUAUUAAUUUAAUUUUGAAUUUAAUUUUUAAGUUAAAAGGCUUAAAUAUUAUUUAAAGACGAGAAGACCCUAUAGAGUUUUAUUUUUUAUUUUUAAUUUUUUAUUUGUUAAUUGGUUAUUAAAUUGAGAUUGUAAAAUUUAAUUGGGGUGAUUAAAAAAUUUGAUUAACUUUUUUAUUUAUUUUUCAUUUAUACAUGAAUAUUUUACCUAAUUUUUUUAAGAUUAAUACAAAUUACCUUAGGGAUAACAGCGUUAUUUUUACUUGAAGUUCUUAUUUUAGUAAAAGAUUGCGACCUCGAUGUUGGAUUAAAAUUUACCUUUGGUGCAGUAGCUAAAGAUGUUAAGUCUGUUCGACUUUUAAAAUUUUACAUGAUCUGAGU
RNAcentral lists this ribosomal RNA (526 nucleotides) under Malthodini sp. UPOL RK0178. RNAcentral's name for it is "partial 16S ribosomal RNA". The stretch from base 389 to 526 matches the Rfam family "Bacterial large subunit ribosomal RNA", at positions 2473 to 2610 of the family's 2925-position model. The record is from RNAcentral. Lineage: Eukaryota; Metazoa; Arthropoda; Insecta; Coleoptera; Cantharidae.